UACGAAGGGGGCUAGCGUUGUUCGGAAUUACUGGGCGUAAAGGGCGCGUAGGCGGCGUGUCAAGUCAGGCGUGAAAGCCCCGGGCUCAACCUGGGAACCGCGCUUGAGACUGGCAUGCUCGAGUUCGGGAGAGGAUGGUGGAAUUCCCAGUGUAGAGGUGAAAUUCGUAGAUAUCGGGAGGAACACCGGUGGCGAAGGCGGCCAUCUGGACGGAUACUGACGCUGAGACGCGAAAGCGUGGGUAGCAAACAGG
RNAcentral lists this ribosomal RNA (253 nucleotides) under uncultured bacterium. RNAcentral's name for it is "partial 16S ribosomal RNA". It matches the Rfam family "Bacterial small subunit ribosomal RNA", at positions 524 to 776 of the family's 1533-position model. The record is from RNAcentral.